RNAcentral lists this small RNA (27 nucleotides) under Bombyx mori (domestic silkworm). RNAcentral describes it as "ovarian small RNA-12614". Lineage: Eukaryota; Metazoa; Arthropoda; Insecta; Lepidoptera; Bombycidae. The record is from RNAcentral.
AUGGACGUCAGCGAUGCCAGGGGCGCA